AAGCUCGUAGUUGAAUUUCGGGACCAAUAUGUCGGUCGUGCCUCGGUACGUACUGGCAUCGUUGGUUUCUCCCUUCUGACGAACCAUGAUGUCAUUUAUUUGGUGUCGUGGGGAAUCAGGACUGUUACUUUGAAAAAAUUGAGUGUUUAAAGCAGGCUCACGCUUGAAUACAUUAGCAUGGAAUAAUGAAAUAGGACGUUUGAUUCUAUUUUGUUGGUUUCUAGGAUCGACGUAAUGAUUAGGAGUNUAGUGACNGUAGGACGGGCGGGUCGGUACGG
Molecule: ribosomal RNA, 278 nt
Filed under: uncultured Glomus
Lineage: Eukaryota; Fungi; Glomeromycota; Glomeromycetes; Glomerales; Glomeraceae
Description: partial 18S ribosomal RNA
Rfam family: Eukaryotic small subunit ribosomal RNA
Source: RNAcentral